GAUCAUGGCUCAGGACGAACGCUGGCGGCGUGCUUAACACAUGCAAGUCGAACGAUGACGAUGGUGCUUGCACCGUCUGAUUAGUGGCGAACGGGUGAGUAACACGUGAGUAACCUGCCCUCCUCUUCGGGAUAACCGCCGGAAACGGUGGCUAAUACCGGAUAUGAAUGCCUGCCGCAUGGUGGGUGUUGGAAAGAUUUAUCGGUGGGGGAUGGACUCGCGGCCUAUCAGUUUGUUGGUGAGGUAAUGGCUCACCAAGGCGAUGACGGGUAGCCGGCCUGAGAGGGCGACCGGCCACACUGGGACUGAGACACGGCCCAGACUCCUACGGGAGGCAGCAGUGGGGAAUAUUGCACAAUGGGCGAAAGCCUGAUGCAGCGACGCCGCGUGGGGAUGACGGCCUUCGGGUUGUAAACCUCUUUCAGCAGGGAAGAAGCGAGAGUGACGGUACCUGCAGAAGAAGCGCCGGCUAACUACGUGCCAGCCGCAGC
This 491-nucleotide ribosomal RNA is filed under the name uncultured bacterium. RNAcentral's name for it is "bacterial SSU rRNA". It matches the Rfam family "Bacterial small subunit ribosomal RNA", at positions 15 to 518 of the family's 1533-position model. The record is from RNAcentral.